UCCGUUUGAAUUCUUUAACAAAUAUAUCCACACUGUUAUACAUUAGGACCAUAUAUAUCCCUCAGCCGUUAAAACUUGUUUCCACAUAAUUUUUUAACACGUGGCAGUAAACGAUUGGAUCAGAUUAUCCUCCCAUUCUAUUUAUUAAACCCGUCCGACCCACUGUUCAAACCCGCCCCGACCCAAUUUCUUUAUAUACACCAGCAUUAUAUCAUUUCUAAUUGUCUUCUCCCUCACAAAGAAAAGAACUAGGAUUUCUCAGUGCAGCUCCAUUGAAAGGCAUUCUCUCCCAGUUGCUUUCUUCUUCUCUUAACAUAAACUGGGUUGUGAAGAUUUUCUAACAUAGCAAGUUUUGUCAUGUCUGAAAGUAGUUAUUCAUCAAAGAGGAGGUGUCAUUGUGGGGAAAUUGCCAAUCACUUCACUUCCACGACUCCAUUUAAUCCCGGAAGGAGAUUCUUUAAGUGCGCUAAACCUGAUAUA
RNAcentral lists this long non-coding RNA (480 nucleotides) under Nicotiana benthamiana. RNAcentral's name for it is "long non-coding RNA (NBEN_LNC022191)". Lineage: Eukaryota; Viridiplantae; Streptophyta; Magnoliopsida; Solanales; Solanaceae. The record is from RNAcentral.